Molecule: long non-coding RNA, 505 nt
Organism: Micropterus salmoides (largemouth bass)
Lineage: Eukaryota; Metazoa; Chordata; Actinopteri; Centrarchiformes; Centrarchidae
Exons: 3
Source: RefSeq, a predicted model, not a curated record
AACUGCAGGAGGGCCUUCACAUUGAUUCAUGGCUGGCGUCAGGGUAGAGCUGCUGCUGGUCCUGACUGCGACUCUGCUGGUUUCAGUAGAGGGAUGGGCGCGGAUCAAGAAAAUUCAACGUCCCUCGCCAGAUGACCGCAGGGAGGACGACAGCGGUGAAGAUGCAGUCUUGAGGAUUCAUUGCUUCAAGUUGAAGGCGCCACCGCCAGUGGAAACUUCUACAAUUUGCUAACCAUGGAGACCAGAUUGACACAGUAGAUUCUAGUCCAAGAACAUGGCGCAGAGGUACUGAUAGUAGUUUCCAGAUGGAAUUUGACAAUAUCCCUUCAAGGAGCCAGACCAGCGGUACCAGUCGGCGUCGGACUGGGCUAGAUGUGGUUUGCAGUGACGCUGGCUUUCAAAUUACUGUGCUGAAAGGUUCAUUAAGUGAAGUUAAAGUUGUGGGCUCAAAGGACCUGCUGUCUGUUAUGGAUGCUCCAGAGUCUUGGGUAUGAAGUGAACCUUU